AAUAAGUGCAGUUUUGCACUAUUCAUGUUCAACGUUUAACCGUCCGUCUUAUUUGAAAAUUUUUUAUGAUUAGUAUUUUUAUUGCUAUUAGAUAAUAAAACAUGAAUAGUACUUUAUGUGUGACUAAAUGUUUUUAAUUUUUUCACAAAUUUUUCAAAUAAGACGGACGGUCAAACGUUGAACAUAAAUAGUAUAAAACUACACUUAUU
RNAcentral lists this microRNA precursor (209 nucleotides) under Oryza rufipogon (brownbeard rice). Its description in RNAcentral is "MIR812 microRNA precursor family". It matches the Rfam family "MIR812 microRNA precursor family". Lineage: Eukaryota; Viridiplantae; Streptophyta; Magnoliopsida; Poales; Poaceae. The record is from Rfam by way of RNAcentral.